UUGGCGCGUGUUGACAUAUGCCCGAAACAAUCAACAGAAAUAGAUUUUAUUUUUUUCUCGCUUUCUCGCCGCCUCUUACUUUGUCGCCUCUUUAUCUUGCAUCUCUCAUUUCGGUUAAGUUGGCUUGUGUUCUGAAAUUCUGUGAAUAAAUAAUCAUUUCUAAGUAAUAACAAAUAAUAAUGGAGAUGUGAAAAAAAAUAGAAUAGCCAACACAAAAAAGGUGAAUGGAAAGAAAGGAUGUAAUGAAGAAUGCAAAGGGUAGGGUGAAGAAAAUAGCCCUGAAAUUUAAAUGAAAUAUAGAUUGUGUUUAGUGAGAGUACCACCCAGUGCUGCUGUAUAAUUAAGAAAAAAUUUAUUCGUUUAUGGUUUCAUGUCUUUCCGAAACAAAUACAACCUACAAAGUUAACAAUAAAAUUCAAAUUUAUAUCAAAACCGAAAGAAGGAAAGAAAAAGACGAAUAAAAAAUCUUUGCUGUGGCCAUAUAUCAAAUGGAAAACUUGCGAAACGAUAAGAAAUUGAAUGAAAUCUAAGAAUUUAAUUUAAAAAAUAAAAUAAAAAUGUUUACAUUUGUGUACUUUGGUUUCCAUAAAUGUUAGAAAAAAAACCUCAUUGUUUGUUACCUUAAAUGUUUAAGUGUCAUAAUUGUUAAAAGUAAAUGAAAAAAUAUAUAAAAAUAUAAUAACAACAACAAAGAAGACAUGUAUUUUAGUCAAUAGCUGUAGAAUCUAGUGUAAAAUAUUAGUGAAUCCCUUUAAUAACAAAUAUUUAAAGAACACCCAAAGUGAUGCCAAAUUUACAUAGGAAAUUAUAAUUUCACAAAAAAUUAAAAAAAAAAUAAAUAAAAAUAAAAUAAAAGAAGAGAAGAGUGUGGAAGAAAAAAAUAACAUUUCAUGUGACCAAAAAAUUUCCACGGAAUAUUCCAAGUAACAUUUUGUUUUCAUUUUUUCAAAACAACCAUAAAAAAGCCAAAACAACGAACCCUUUAAACCUCAUCUUUAACAGAGUAUACCUUUAAAAACAACAACAAUUUGCUAGUCUCUCAAAUUGUGUUUUCCUAUGCCUCCAUUAAAAACCCCAAGGAAAUAAAUUUACAUUCAUUGCUGCCUUGUUUUACCCCCCAAGGAAAUUUAAAAUAAAUUCAAAUUAACAAUCAAAAAAAAAAAAAAAAAAAAAAAAAAGAAAGAAGAGAAGAAAAAACCUGAAGAUACCAGCCCUUAAUUAAACAAACAGCGAGGUAGAGGCUCCCCACAUACAUACAUAAAUAUUCAUAAGUCUGAGUGUAUACAUACAUAAAUGUUGGUUUUGUUUUAUAGAGGUUUCCCUGCAAAUUAGCAUUAGAAUAAAUAUUUAAAAACGAAUUUACAAACAAAACAAAACAACCAAUCAAAUAGAUUUAUUAUUUGAUGGAAUUAAAUGAAAUAUUCAAAGGAAUUUUAAUUUAAUUUGAACCACAAAAAACACCACUUGAGGAGAAACCAAAUUCAAAUCCUUGUUUUUCAAAAUCACAACUCCAUAUCCUCCCUCUCUUUAAAAAACAAAAACAACAACAAAAAAUCAAAACAAAUAAAAAUAGAAUUAAUUAUAAAUGUUUACAUAAAAUGUGUCUUAGUGUGUGUGUCUGUAUAACUGUUCCCCUGAGUGUGUGAGUGUGUGUAUAUGUCUAUCUGUAUUCCUGUUUCUUUGAAUAUGACAACUUAAGUCUUAAUUAAACAUCGUCAUCAUCAUCAGCGCCAACAACCACCAGAACAACAACAGCAACAACUACAAAAUAAAAUUAAUGAAUUAUUUACUCAAUUAACCAAAACAACCUAAGGAUAUUUGCCCUAAAAAGCGAAAUCAUCAUUUAUUGGAUAUUGCUCUUUUCCAUCGUCACCACCAUUAACCUCACCACUGGCGUCAGAAUAUCGCCCAUCUAAAAACACACAGAGAAGAGCUACAUCAGUGAAACGGAUUAACCCUCAUCAUCACCGGCAACGGCUGCAAAUGCUUUUGAUCUGAAAAUACAAAAAAAGAGAAAAACAUAUUUUUUAUGAAACAAAGACACCAAAUAUUGACUCCAUUGAAAUAUAUAUUUUUUAUAAAAAUAACAACAAUAAUAAUCCCAAUCUAUUUUACAACUACAACCAAAUAACAACAACAACAAGCAACCAACUUCCAAGUCAACUUAGCACAAUAAAACAUAUCCUAAAUGGUUUUAAUUUUUUUCUAACUGAAACAAAAACAACAGCCCAAUAAACAAAAAAUAUAUAUCAAUCACUACCUACAACAAACAACCCAGAUAAAAAAAUCUUAUGAAUUAAAAAAAAAAAAAAAAAAAUAGAAGUGUUACCGCAAUACAAAAAGAAACCCCUUUUUGGAAACUCUAACAAAAAUUAGGAAUCUCAACUAUUUUUAUACCCCAAAUAAAGACUUUUGAAAAAGCAACCAUUCCCCCAAUUAAAUCAAAGAGGAAACUAUUUUUUUCUAACAACUUUACAACAACGAGGAGGCCAAAGUGAAAAUUCUCUCAAAAUGUCUGUCGACUUGAGUGUUCACCAGGAGCCGACGGUGUCGGUGAUAACAACAGUACCAGUCUCAGCCAAUGGCGGCGAAAUGGAUGCCCUACUCUUGGGACGCAUUGGGGUAAGUGUCGC
Musca domestica (house fly) is the source of this 2633-nucleotide long non-coding RNA. RefSeq lists it as uncharacterized. The transcript has 3 exons. Lineage: Eukaryota; Metazoa; Arthropoda; Insecta; Diptera; Muscidae. The record is from RefSeq and is a predicted model, not a curated record.